RNAcentral lists this non-coding RNA (30 nucleotides) under Homo sapiens (human). Lineage: Eukaryota; Metazoa; Chordata; Mammalia; Primates; Hominidae. The record is from RNAcentral.
UAUUAGUCUUAUUUUCAUCACCGUGGGCGU